UAAUUAAAUGAGUUAUCCAGGGUCACAGCUAGCAAGCAUCUGACACCAGAAGCCCUGGGCCACCUAGCUGCCUCAAUAAUUUACUUUACUAUCUUGGUUGUUUUGUGAUGAGUCUGAAUCUGGAAUUUCAUCAGAAUUGGGAGCCCUGUUGAGGAAAUAUGACUAAAAUCAACCAGUAACUAUCCUUAGAAGCUAAAUGGACUGCAUUGGCUCAUA
RNAcentral lists this long non-coding RNA (216 nucleotides) under Monodelphis domestica (gray short-tailed opossum). Its description in RNAcentral is "lncRNA (ENSMODG00000049622.1)". The record is from RNAcentral. Lineage: Eukaryota; Metazoa; Chordata; Mammalia; Didelphimorphia; Didelphidae.